CCUACGGGUGGCAGCAGUGAGGAAUAUUGGUCAAUGGACGCAAGUCUGAACCAGCCAUGCCGCGUGCAGGAAGACGGCUCUAUGAGUUGUAAACUGCUUUUGUACGAGGGUAAACGCAGAUACGCGUAUCUGUCUGAAAGUAUCGUACGAAUAAGGAUCGGCUAACUCCGUGCCAGCAGCCGCGGUAAUACGGAGGAUUCAAGCGUUAUCCGGAUUUAUUGGGUUUAAAGGGUGCGUAGGCGGUCGGAUAAGUUAGAGGUGAAAUCCCGAGGCUCAACUUCGGAAUUGCCUCUGAUACUGUUCGGCUAGAGAGUAGUUGCGGUAGGCGGAAUGUAUGGUGUAGCGGUGAAAUGCUUAGAGAUCAUACAGAACACCGAUUGCGAAGGCAGCUUACCAGGCUACUUCUGACGUUGAGGCACGAAAGCGUGGGGAGCGAACAGGAUUAGAUACCCCGGUAGUC
Molecule: ribosomal RNA, 460 nt
Filed under: uncultured bacterium
Lineage: Bacteria
Description: partial 16S ribosomal RNA
Rfam family: Bacterial small subunit ribosomal RNA
Source: RNAcentral